Molecule: ribosomal RNA, 460 nt
Filed under: uncultured bacterium
Lineage: Bacteria
Description: partial 16S ribosomal RNA
Rfam family: Bacterial small subunit ribosomal RNA
Source: RNAcentral
CCUACGGGAGGCAGCAGUGAGGAAUAUUGGUCAAUGGGCGUAAGCCUGAACCAGCCAAGUCGCGUGAGGGAUGAAGGUUCUAUGGAUCGUAAACCUCUUUUAUAAGGGAAUAAAGUGUGGGACGUGUCCUAUUUUGUAUGUACCUUAUGAUUAAGGAUCGGCUAACUCCGUGCCAGCAGCCGCGGUAAUACGGAGGAUCCGAGCGUUAUCCGGAUUUAUUGGGUUUAAAGGGUGCGUAGGCGGCAGUUUAAGUCAGCGGUGAAAGUCUGUGGCUCAACCAUAGAAUUGCCGUUGAAACUGGGUGGCUUGAGUAUGGUUGAGGCAGGCGGAAUGCGUGGUGUAGCGGUGAAAUGCUUAGAUAUCACGCAGAACCCCGGUGGCGAAGGCAGCCUGCCAAGCCAUGACUGACGCUGAUGCACGAAAGCGUGGGGAUCAAACAGGAUUAGAUACCCGGGUAGUC